Culex quinquefasciatus (southern house mosquito) is the source of this 109-nucleotide long non-coding RNA. RefSeq lists it as uncharacterized. The record is from RefSeq and is a predicted model, not a curated record. The transcript has 3 exons. NCBI's taxonomy places the organism in Eukaryota, Metazoa, Arthropoda, Insecta, Diptera, Culicidae.
GGUUUGGAACCAGCUGCUAAAGGGCAGUGACUAGUAAGAGAGCAGAGCGGGCAAGUGUGACCUGGGCCUGGCGGAAGAAGACCAAUCUUUUAGCUCGACAUGCACCCAC